RNAcentral lists this ribosomal RNA (248 nucleotides) under Providencia rettgeri. RNAcentral's name for it is "partial 16S ribosomal RNA". It matches the Rfam family "Bacterial small subunit ribosomal RNA", at positions 1 to 247 of the family's 1533-position model. The record is from RNAcentral. Lineage: Bacteria; Pseudomonadati; Pseudomonadota; Gammaproteobacteria; Enterobacterales; Morganellaceae.
UAAUUGAAGAGUUUGAUCAUGGCUCAGAUUGAACGCUGGCGGCAGGCCUAACACAUGCAAGUCGAGCGGUAACAGGGGAAGCUUGCUUCUCGCUGACGAGCGGCGGACGGGUGAGUAAUGUAUGGGGAUCUGCCCGAUAGAGGGGGAUAACUACUGGAAACGGUAGCUAAUACCGCAUAAUCUCUCAGGAGCAAAGCAGGGGAACUUCGGUCCUUGCGCUAUCGGAUGAACCCAUAUGGGAUUAGCUA